Molecule: ribosomal RNA, 439 nt
Filed under: uncultured bacterium
Lineage: Bacteria
Description: partial 16S ribosomal RNA
Rfam family: Bacterial small subunit ribosomal RNA
Source: RNAcentral
CUACGGGAGGCUGCAGUGAGGAAUAUUGCACAAUGGGGGGAACCCUGAUGCAGCAACGCCGCGUGGAGGAUGACGCAUUUCGGUGUGUAAACUCCUUUUAUAUGUCAAGAAAAUGACGGUAGCAUAUGAAUAAGCACCGGCUAACUCCGUGCCAGCAGCCGCGGUAAUACGGAGGGUGCAAGCGUUACUCGGAAUCACUGGGCGUAAAGGACGCGUAGGCGGGUUGGAAAGUCAGGUGUGAAAUCCUACAGCUUAACUGUAGAACUGCACUUGAAACUGGUAAUCUAGAGUAUGGGAGGGGAAGAUGGAAUUAGUGGUGUAGGGGUAAAAUCCGUAGAUAUCACUAGGAAUACCUAAAGCGAAGGCGAUCUCCUGGAACAUUACUGACGCUAAGGCGUGAAAGCGUGGGGAGCAAACAGGAUUAGAUACCCCCGUAGUC